CGAUCUCCUUCGGGAGGUAGCGGCGGACGGGUGAGUAACGCGUGGGAACGUGCCCUGGGGUACGGAACAACCGCUGGAAACGGCGGCUAAUACCGUAUGAUGUCUUCAGACCAAAGAUUUAUCGCCCUGGGAUCGGCCCGCGUUGGAUUAGGUAGUUGGUGGGGUAAUGGCCUACCAAGCCGACGAUCCAUAGCUGGUUUGAGAGGAUGACCAGCCACACUGGGACUGAGACACGGCCCAG
RNAcentral lists this ribosomal RNA (241 nucleotides) under uncultured bacterium. RNAcentral describes it as "partial 16S ribosomal RNA". It matches the Rfam family "Bacterial small subunit ribosomal RNA", at positions 67 to 334 of the family's 1533-position model. The record is from RNAcentral.